UAUCUUAUUUCCACUUAUUCCACUAAACUCUCUAAAUUCUCAAAACAGCCCCUCAUCUCAAUAUUAUUUUAUUUUCAAAUCUUAUUCUAUUAAAUAAUAUAAUAACACCACUAAAUAAAAUAACAACACACCACAUAAUCAUUUAAAUCACAUAAAUCAUAUAAAUAUACUCUAAACUCAAUAAAAUAAUCUAAUAAAUAAAUAGGGCGUUACACC
RNAcentral lists this long non-coding RNA (216 nucleotides) under Medicago truncatula (barrel medic). RNAcentral describes it as "long non-coding RNA (MTRU_LNC007409)". Lineage: Eukaryota; Viridiplantae; Streptophyta; Magnoliopsida; Fabales; Fabaceae. The record is from RNAcentral.